ACAAUGGAGAGUUUGAUCCUGGCUCAGGAUGAACGCUAGCGGCAGGCCUAACACAUGCAAGUCGAGGGGCAUCACAGGUAGCAAUACCGGGU
Molecule: ribosomal RNA, 92 nt
Filed under: Alistipes sp.
Lineage: Bacteria; Pseudomonadati; Bacteroidota; Bacteroidia; Bacteroidales; Rikenellaceae
Description: partial 16S ribosomal RNA
Rfam family: Bacterial small subunit ribosomal RNA
Source: RNAcentral